Molecule: ribosomal RNA, 429 nt
Filed under: uncultured Haliscomenobacter sp.
Lineage: Bacteria; Pseudomonadati; Bacteroidota; Saprospiria; Saprospirales; Haliscomenobacteraceae
Description: bacterial SSU rRNA
Rfam family: Bacterial small subunit ribosomal RNA
Source: RNAcentral
UAACCACCGGCUAACUCCGUGCCAGCAGCCGCGGUAAUACGGAGGGUGCGAGCGUUAUCCGGAAUCACUGGGUUUAAAGGGUGCGUAGGCGGUUUGAUAAGUCAGUUGUGAAAUUCCUCGGCUUAACCGAGUGGACUGCGAUUGAUACUGUCAGACUUGAAUCAGGUUGAGGUAGGCGGAAUGUGACAUGUAGCGGUGAAAUGCUUAGAUAUGUCAUAGAACACCGAUUGCGAAGGCAGCUUGCUGGGCUUAGAUUGACGCUGAGGCACGAAAGCGUGGGGAGCAAACAGGAUUAGAUACCCUGGUAGUCCACGCCCUAAACGAUGUUUACUUGCUGUUCCUGUCUUGUAUGGGAGUGGCGAAGCGAAAGCGAUAAGUAAACCACCUGGGGAGUACGCCGGCAACGGUGAAACUCAAAGGAAUUGACGG